This 1523-nucleotide long non-coding RNA is filed under the name Homo sapiens (human). RNAcentral's name for it is "HSALNT0301459". Lineage: Eukaryota; Metazoa; Chordata; Mammalia; Primates; Hominidae. The record is from RNAcentral.
UUUCGCUCUGUCGCCCAGGCUGGAGUGCAGUGGCACAAUCUCGGUUCACUGCAACCUCUGCCUCCCGGGUUCAAGCAGUUCUCUUGCCUCAGCCUCCCAAGUAACUGGUACUACAGAGAAUUGAUACAAAAAAUGAUCAUGUGAAGAAUUUGCAUCUUCUGCAGAACUACCGGUAUCAGUCAGCAGUAGGAGAUUUGUCGUCUUCAUCUCAUUCCUUUGGCUUUCCCGUCUGUCCAGAGGGACCAGAGGAAGACAGCUUCAUAAAGAGAGGCAUCCCAGCCUAGAUGCUUCCAGUUUAGAGUAUGGAUCUGGGCUCUUCACAUGGAGAGAAAAGACUGGCGCUGAGAAGGAUCCUCAGAGGACAGGUUGGCAUAUUUCAGAGACAAACCAUCUGAAGAAACCAAAGAGCCUGGCUCUUUAUUAGUCUUGCAAGGGGAGCAUGCAGGACAACAGCAGCAUGAGAUGCUGAGUGGUAGGAAGCAUCAAAGGAUUUGACUGGGAGGACAGUCAUGGUUCCGUUACAGGUGCUGGCACCAAGAAAAUGCAUACACCCUGUGGGCAGCUCACUUUGAAGAGAGAGAGGAGAAGAAAGGGCUGGGCUGCCCCUACUCAAGCUCUUCUUCCAAAAGCAGUACUCAGAUGGGUCACUCCAUAAUUCCCAGGGUCCAGUCAGGGAGCGGUGGGGAGAGGCUGGAGUGGCCUACUAAGGGAGAGCCCUGUUAACAGAGCCUCCUACACAAGGAAGAAUCACUAGGAGAGGGGAAGGAACGUGCGAGGCCCCUGCCAACUCCUCUUCCAUACUCGUUCGUUUGCGCAUUCAACACACUUUUGAGCACCUUCUUUUCCUCUGUGCUCUGUGACAGGAAUUCAAACAUGAAACUAGAUGUGGCCUUGGCUUUCAGAGAAGUCAUUCCCUUAGUAGUGAAUACUAGUUCCCUGAAGUUUAACAUUGGAGGAGAAGGAGUUAUUAAACACCCAUUCUAAGCAAGAACAUCAGUAGCCUACAAAGGGCCUUUUUUCACACUUUGAGUCUGUUGAAGAAAACUCACAGUUGGUAUCACUUGCUUUAAAAGUGCCCCCCACUCUGCCUUGUACGGUCCGGAUUGCUGUGAGGCCAUGACAAGGAACCAAGUUCUGUUUUUCUGUGAAGAGAAUGGAAUAAUCAUUUACCUCUUUCCUGUGGCUGCCAGCUGGUCCCUUCACUCAGUCACUCCCUGUUUCUCCUUCCUCCCUUUCCUCUCCCCUUCCAGUACACAGAAUCCCUUCUCCAUAUCCCCCCAUGAUGAAGGACCACCAGUCAUUGGCUCACCUCUCUUCCAAAAUUCCAAUGACUAGAGUCUUUCUCAGAGUAUGUAUAACUGAUGUCACAGACCCCUGAGUCUGGAAGAGUCUAAGUAAAAGUGGGUGUUGACCUGAAUGUAAGUUAGUUUUCUAUUGUCUUAGUUUUUGCUCCCCUCAAAAGAGACCCUGAGAUGAUACGGAUGAGAUGAUAUGGAUGCAAUUAAUUUUGUAUGUGUGUGUCG